This 83-nucleotide transfer RNA is filed under the name Chloroflexota bacterium. RNAcentral describes it as "Chloroflexi bacterium tRNA-Leu". It matches the Rfam family "tRNA". From Rfam's summary of the family: Transfer RNA (tRNA) molecules are approximately 80 nucleotides in length. Their secondary structure includes four short double-helical elements and three loops (D, anti-codon, and T loops). Further hydrogen bonds mediate the characteristic L-shaped molecular structure. tRNAs have two regions of fundamental functional importance: the anti-codon, which is responsible for specific mRNA codon recognition, and the 3' end, to which the tRNAs corresponding amino acid is attached (by aminoacyl-tRNA synthetases). tRNAs cope with the degeneracy of the genetic code in two manners: having more than one tRNA (with a specific anti-codon) for a particular amino acid; and 'wobble' base-pairing, i.e. permitting non-standard base-pairing at the 3rd anti-codon position. Lineage: Bacteria; Bacillati; Chloroflexota. The record is from RNAcentral.
GCCGGCGUGGCGGAAUCGGCAGACGCACGGGACUUAAAAUCCCGGGACCUUUGGUCGUGUGGGUUCGAGUCCCACCGUCGGUA